Long non-coding RNA from Musa acuminata AAA Group (dessert banana), 436 nucleotides. RefSeq lists it as uncharacterized. The record is from RefSeq and is a predicted model, not a curated record. NCBI's taxonomy places the organism in Eukaryota, Viridiplantae, Streptophyta, Magnoliopsida, Zingiberales, Musaceae. The transcript has 2 exons.
GGAGGUAGUUGGUGCGAGAUCAAGAUUCAUAUUUGAGCUGCAUGUCAUCUGCUUCAUUUUGAUUCACUUUUUCUUGUAGCCUCUGAUGGAUCCACCAUCUCCUGCUCCUUUUGACCCCGAGGUGCCAUUCCUCCCACCUGCACCACCACCACCACCACCACCACCAGCAGUAGGCAUUCUGGAUUCAUGCCUGUGGUGUCUUUGCUGCUGUGGAUUGUUUACGAGUUGCUGCCCACCACUGUUUCAGCCUGGACUCCCUCCUCCACUCUGAAUCCAUGAUGUGGAGAAAUCAGAUGGAUGCUUUUUAGUGUGUGUCUCCUCCACCUGUGAUCGAAAAGAGGGAUUGGAAUGGGAUGUUUUGAUAUGAUUAGAACCGCGACUUAAAUUUUUCCUUCAUUUGUGGCCAAAAGUGGACUCUUCAUGUUCUUCCAAUCCA